GACGAACGCUGGCGGCGUGCCUAAUACAUGCAAGUGGAACGCUGAAGGAGGAGCUUGCUUCUCCGGAUGAGUUGCGAACGGGUGAGUAACGCGUAGGUAACCUGCCUGGUAGCGGGGGAUAACUAUUGGAAACGAUAGCUAAUACCGCAUAACAGUAGAUAUUGCAUGAUAUCUGCUUAAAAGGUGCAAUUGCAUCACUACCAGAUGGACCUGCGUUGUAUUAGCUAGUUGGUGAGGUAACGGCUCACCAAGGCAACGAUACAUAGCCGACCUGAGAGGGUGAUCGGCCACACUGGGACUGAGACACGGCCCAGACUCCUACGGGAGGCAGCAGUAGGGAAUCUUCGGCAAUGGACGGAAGUCUGACCGAGCAACGCCGCGUGAGUGAAGAAGGUUUUCGGAUCGUAAAGCUCUGUUGUAAGAGAAGAACGAGUGUGAGAGUGGAAAGUUCACACUGUGACGGUAUCUUACCAGAAAGGGACGGCUAACUACGUGCCAGCAGCCGCGGUAAUACGUAGGUCCCGAGCGUUGUCCGGAUUUAUUGGGCGUAAAGCGAGCGCAGGCGGUUAGAUAAGUCUGAAGUUAAAGGCUGUGGCUUAACCAUAGUACGCUUUGGAAACUGUUUAACUUGAGUGCAAGAGGGGAGAGGUGGAAUUUCCAUGUUGUACCGGUGGAAUGCGUUAGAUAUUAUGGAGGAACUCCGGGUGGCGGAAAGGCGGCUCCUCUGGCUUGUAACUGACGGCGAGGGCUCGAAAGCUUGGGGAGCAAACAGGGAUUAGAUACCCUGGUAGUACACCCCGUAAACGAUGAGUGCUAGGUGUUAGACCCUUUCCGGGGUUAAGUGCCGCAGCUAACGCAUUAAGCACUCCGCCUGGGGAGUACGACCGCAAGGUUGAAACUCAAAGGAAUUGACGGGGGCCCGCACAAGCGGUGGAGCAUGCGGUUUAAUUCGAAGCAACGCGAAGAACCUUACCAGGUCUUGACAUCCCUAUGACCGCUCUAGAGAUAGAGCUUUCCUUCGGGACAGAGGUGACAGGUGGAGCAUGGUUGUCGUCAGCUCGUGUCGUGAGAUGUUGGGCUAAGUCCCGCAACGAGCGCAACCCCUAUUGUUAGUUGCCAUCAUUCAGUUGGGCACUCUAGCGAGACUGCCGGUAAUAAACCGGAGGAAGGUGGGGAUGACGUCAAAUCAUCAUGCCCCUUAUGACCUGGGCUACACACGUGCUACAAUGGCUGGUACAACGAGUCGCAAGUCGGUGACGGCAAGCUAAUCUCUUAAAGCCAGUCUCAGUUCGGAUUGUAGGCUGCAACUCGCCUACAUGAAGUCGGAAUCGCUAGUAAUCGCGGAUCAGCACGCCGCGGUGAAUACGUUCCCGGGCCU
RNAcentral lists this ribosomal RNA (1378 nucleotides) under uncultured bacterium. RNAcentral describes it as "bacterial SSU rRNA". It matches the Rfam family "Bacterial small subunit ribosomal RNA", at positions 28 to 1381 of the family's 1533-position model. The record is from RNAcentral.